Molecule: ribosomal RNA, 253 nt
Filed under: uncultured bacterium
Lineage: Bacteria
Description: partial 16S ribosomal RNA
Rfam family: Bacterial small subunit ribosomal RNA
Source: RNAcentral
UACAGAGGGUGCAAGCGUUGUUCGGAAUUACUGGGCGUAAAGGGCGCGUAGGCGGGUCUCCAAGUCUGUGGUGAAAUCCCCCGGCUCAACCGGGGAAGUGCCGUGGAUACUGGAGACCUCGAGGAGGGUAGGGGCAUCUGGAACAGUAGGUGGAGCGGUGAAAUGCGUUGAUAUCUACUGGAACUCCGGUGGCGAAGGCGAGGUGCUGGACCCUUUCUGACGCUGAGGCGCGAAAGCCAGGGGAGCAAACGGG